Acanthosepion pharaonis is the source of this 110-nucleotide non-coding RNA. The record is from the annotation of a GenBank genome assembly. NCBI's taxonomy places the organism in Eukaryota, Metazoa, Mollusca, Cephalopoda, Sepiida, Sepiidae.
GGCCACUUCAUAUUGAAACUCUUGUUCCCGUAUGAUCACCAAAGUUAAGCAAUGUUGAGCUUGGUCAGUACCUAAGUGGGUGGCCACAUGGGUAUACCAGGUGUUGUAAG